AGCAGCCGCGGUAAUUCCAGCUCCAAUAGCGUAUAUCAAAGUUGUUGCAGUUAAAAAGCUCGUAGUUGAAUUUCGGGGUUAGCAGGUCGGUCGUGCCAUCGGUAUGAACUGGUCUCGCUGAUCCCUCCCUCUUGACGAACUGUGAUGCCAUUAAUUUGGUGUCGCAGGGAAUCAGGACUGUUACUUUGAAAAAAUUAGAGUGUUUAAAGCAGGCUCACGCUUGAAUACAUUAGCAUGGAAUAAUGAAAUAGGACGUUUGAUUCUAUUUUGUUGGUUUCUAGGAUCGACGUAAUGAUUAAUAGGGAUAGUUGGGGGCAUUAGUAUUCAAUUGUCAGAGGUGAAAUUCUUGGAUUUAUUGAAGACUAACUACUGCGAAAGCAUCUGCCAAGGAUGUUUUCAUUAAUCAAGAACGAAAGUUAGGGGAUCGAAGACGAUCAGAUACCGUCGUAGUCUUAACCAUAAACCAUGCCGACUAGGGAUCGGAUGAUGUUAAUUUUUAAUGUA
RNAcentral lists this ribosomal RNA (504 nucleotides) under uncultured Glomus. RNAcentral describes it as "SSU rRNA". It matches the Rfam family "Eukaryotic small subunit ribosomal RNA", at positions 569 to 1078 of the family's 1831-position model. The record is from RNAcentral. Lineage: Eukaryota; Fungi; Glomeromycota; Glomeromycetes; Glomerales; Glomeraceae.